UGGGGAAUAUUGGACAAUGGGCGAAAGCCUGAUCCAGCCAUGCCGCGUGUGUGAAGAAGGUCUUCGGAUUGUAAAGCACUUUAAGUUGGGAGGAAGGGCAGUAAGCUAAUACCUUGCUGUUUUGACGUUACCGACAGAAUAAGCACCGGCUAACUUCGUGCCAGCAGCCGCGGUAAUACGAAGGGUGCAAGCGUUAAUCGGAAUUACUGGGCGUAAAGCGCGCGUAGGUGGUUCGUUAAGUUGGAUGUGAAAGCCCCGGGCUCAACCUGGGAACUGCAUCCAAAACUGGCGAGCUAGAGUAUGGUAGAGGGUGGUGGAAUUUCCUGUGUAGCGGUGAAAUGCGUAGAUAUAGGAAGGAACACCAGUGGCGAAGGCGACCACCUGGACUGAUACUGACACUGAGGUGCGAAAAGCGUGGGGAGCAAAACAGGAUUAGAUACCCUGGUAGUCCACGCCGUAAAACGAUGUCAACUAGCCGUUGGGUUCCUUGAGGACUUAGUGGCGCAGCUAACGCAUUAAGUUGACCGCCUGGGGAGUACGGCCGCAAGGUUAAAACUCAAAAGGAAUUGACGGGGUCAUAGCUGUUUCCUG
RNAcentral lists this ribosomal RNA (591 nucleotides) under uncultured bacterium. RNAcentral describes it as "partial 16S ribosomal RNA". It matches the Rfam family "Bacterial small subunit ribosomal RNA", at positions 355 to 1376 of the family's 1533-position model. The record is from RNAcentral.